AGAGUUUGAUCAUGGCUCAGAACGAACGCUGGCGGCAGGCUUAACACAUGCAAGUCGAGCGCCCAGCAAUGGGAGCGGCGGACGGGUGAGUAACACGUGGGAAUAUGCCUUUCGGUUCGGCACAACUCAGGGAAACUUGAGCUAAUUCCGGAUACGCCCUUACGGGGAAAGAUUUAUCGCCGAAAGAUUAGCCCGCGUUGGAUUAGCUAGUUGGUGAGGUAACGGCCCACCAAGGCGACGAUCCAUAGCUGGUUUGAGAGAACGACCAGCCACACUGGGACUGAGACACGGCCCAGACUCCUACGGGAGGCAGCAGUGGGGAAUCUUGGACAAUGGAGGCAACUCUGAUCCAGCCAUGCCGCGUGAGUGAUGAAGGCCUUCGGGUUGUAAAACUCUUUUGGCGGGGACGAUAAUGACGGUACCCGCAGAAUAAGCUCCGGCUAACUUCGUGCCAGCAGCCGCGGUAAUACGAAGGGGGCUAGCGUUGUUCGGAAUUACUGGGCGUAAAGCGUGCGCAGGCGGCUUCUCAAGUCAGGGGUGAAAGCCCAGAGCUCAACUCUGGAAUUGCCUUUGAGACUGAGUGGCUUGAGUACGGGAGAGGUGAGUGGAAUUCCCAGUGUAGAGGUGAAAUUCGUAGAUAUUGGGAAGAACACCGGUGGCGAAGGCGGCUCACUGGCCCGAAACUGACGCUCAUGCACGACAGCGUGGGGAUCAAACAGGAUUAGAUACCCCAGUAGUCC
Molecule: ribosomal RNA, 740 nt
Filed under: uncultured bacterium
Lineage: Bacteria
Description: bacterial SSU rRNA
Rfam family: Bacterial small subunit ribosomal RNA
Source: RNAcentral